Molecule: ribosomal RNA, 434 nt
Filed under: uncultured Oscillospiraceae bacterium
Lineage: Bacteria; Bacillati; Bacillota; Clostridia; Eubacteriales; Oscillospiraceae
Description: bacterial SSU rRNA
Rfam family: Bacterial small subunit ribosomal RNA
Source: RNAcentral
ACGGAAGGCAGCAGUGGGGGAUAUUGCACAAUGGGCGAAAGCCUGAUGCAGCGACGCCGCGUGAGGGAAGAAGGUCUUCGGAUUGUAAACCUUUGUCCCAUGGGAAGAUAAUGACGGUACCAUGGGAGGAAGCCACGGCUAACUACGUGCCAGCAGCCGCGGUAAUACGUAGGUGGCAAGCGUUGUCCGGAUUUACUGGGUGUAAAGGGUGCGUAGGCGGGGCAGCAAGUUGGAUGUGAAAUCCUCGGGCUCAACUCGAGAACUGCAUUCAAAACUGUUGCUCUUGAGUGCAGUAGAGGCAAGCGGAAUUCCCGGUGUAGCGGUGAAAUGCGCAGAGAUCGGGAGGAACACCAGUGGCGAAGGCGGCUUGCUGGGCUGUUACUGACGCUGAGGCACGAAAGCAUGGGUAGCAAACAGGAUUAGAUACCCUGGUA